UGCCGCGUGCAGGAGAAAGCCUUCUGGGUUGUAAACUGCUUUUAACUGGGGAUAAAAGAUCCCUGCGGGGAGCAUUGAAAGUACCAGUUGAAUAAGCCACGGCUAACUACGUGCCAGCA
RNAcentral lists this ribosomal RNA (119 nucleotides) under uncultured Bacteroidota bacterium. RNAcentral describes it as "uncultured Bacteroidetes bacterium partial 16S ribosomal RNA". It matches the Rfam family "Bacterial small subunit ribosomal RNA", at positions 395 to 513 of the family's 1533-position model. Lineage: Bacteria; Pseudomonadati; Bacteroidota. The record is from RNAcentral.